RNAcentral lists this unclassified non-coding RNA (171 nucleotides) under fungal sp. RNAcentral describes it as "partial internal transcribed spacer region". The stretch from base 1 to 46 matches the Rfam family "Eukaryotic small subunit ribosomal RNA", at positions 1786 to 1831 of the family's 1831-position model. Lineage: Eukaryota; Fungi. The record is from RNAcentral.
AAGUCGUAACAAGGUUUCCGUAGGUGAACCUGCGGAAGGAUCAUUAUCGAAGUACGCUUCAAACACCCUUGUGAACUGUCGCCUUUUGGCGUAUACAAACGCUUGUUUUGUCAUGUAUGUCUUGUUAUUCAUAACAAAUACAACUUUCAACAACGGAUCUCUUGGCUCCCA